RNAcentral lists this transfer RNA (71 nucleotides) under Paleosuchus trigonatus (Schneider's dwarf caiman). RNAcentral's name for it is "tRNA-Gln". It matches the Rfam family "tRNA". Rfam says of the family: Transfer RNA (tRNA) molecules are approximately 80 nucleotides in length. Lineage: Eukaryota; Metazoa; Chordata; Crocodylia; Alligatoridae. The record is from RNAcentral.
UAGGGGGUACUAUAAUGGAAGUAGGAAGCAUUUUGAUUGCUUUUGAGUGGGUUCGAGUCCCAUCCCCCUAG